GCAUCUAUGGUCCAGCGGUAGGAUAUUUGCCUUCCAUUAUCGGCGAGCAAAUGGCUCGGGUUCGACUCCCGGUGGAUGCA
Lophiotrema nucula is the source of this 80-nucleotide non-coding RNA. The record is from the annotation of a GenBank genome assembly. Lineage: Eukaryota; Fungi; Ascomycota; Dothideomycetes; Pleosporales; Lophiotremataceae.